CUCCUACACCGCCAUCUGCAAGUCCCAGUGAGAAAGGAGGCAGCUCAUCUGCCAUGUCCCAAGUAGGCUCUCUGACCUGCCGGCAAUGCCUCCUAGGGCUGUUUUCCCAUCUUGUCACUUGCUUCCGAGCCAUUUGCCAAAUGCCACUCUUUCUGGUCUCCCUGUCUCCUUCUCUCACCCUCUGGCUUGAGUUUUUGGAAGAGUCCUAUGGGAAGGGUGAGGAGGGUGUUGCCAUGGGACAUAGCAAAUGUCUAACUCAGGUGUAACACCUGUCAUAUUGUACUGAAAUGCUAUCGUGAGUGACCCUUGCCUUCAGGUUCUAAAUUCCUGAUGAUUAAUAUGCAGAUGGUGGUUCAUAGUUCCAACAAGCUGCAUUCUACUGUUUUCAGAGAAAGGAUUCUUGCUUUCUGCCUGCUGCUGGCACUGGAUCUCAGAUUUAAGAAUCUGCCACCAAACAGAUGGCAGUUGGAGAUAUUUGGGAAUUAAAUGCCUCAUUCUAUUAGUCUGAUUCUGGCCUGUUUUAAUUUGGGGAUAUAGCUUAUGUCCACUUGGCCUGUGUUUCUAACAGGUAAAAGUAUCCUAUCUUGUUUAAGUAGAGGAAAAUGAUAUCAAUAUAUUAUGAAGAGAGUGUAUGAAUAUACAUACGCCAUGUAUUAUAUACCUACAGAACUCCAAAUGGAUGCAUCUGGUCUUCAGGGGUCCCCUCAGCUGCGGCAGGAUUGAGGAUAUGGGUGACGUGGGUGCCAGGGAUAGGGUGGGUAUGUAAGGCAGCUCCUCUAGGUUAGAACCAGACAAGAAAUAGUGCAGAAAAGUCUAGGAGGAAACAACAAUUAAAUGCAAAUGUCCUUACACAAUAGCAGAGAAAAUCAUAUAUCUGAGUCCAAGAUGAAACCACCAAUAUUGUAAACUCCCACAGCUUGUCUGAUCUCUUGACUUAGUGUUUUCAUCGAUUGCUUCCAGUCGCUAUGAUUUAAAGUCUGCCAACACAGUAUCUACAGCCAUACUGAAGACUCUUCAAGUUGGGGACCCAUUCUGUUGUUGCAUGUUAAGCAGGAUGUUGGAGCACAGGAUCUAGUUCUAGAGGGACCAGGAGAGGGGUCUAGAGGCUUAGAGGUGAGUUCAUAGCAGAGACACUUUGCAUGUUUCAAGC
Molecule: long non-coding RNA, 1150 nt
Filed under: Marmota monax (woodchuck)
Lineage: Eukaryota; Metazoa; Chordata; Mammalia; Rodentia; Sciuridae
Source: RNAcentral